UCCGCAGUAGCUCAGUCGGUAGAGCGGGUGGCUGUUAACCACCAUGUCGGCGGUUCGAGUCCGUCCUGCGGAGCCA
RNAcentral lists this transfer RNA (76 nucleotides) under Deltaproteobacteria bacterium. Its description in RNAcentral is "tRNA-Asn". It matches the Rfam family "tRNA". Rfam says of the family: Transfer RNA (tRNA) molecules are approximately 80 nucleotides in length. Their secondary structure includes four short double-helical elements and three loops (D, anti-codon, and T loops). Further hydrogen bonds mediate the characteristic L-shaped molecular structure. tRNAs have two regions of fundamental functional importance: the anti-codon, which is responsible for specific mRNA codon recognition, and the 3' end, to which the tRNAs corresponding amino acid is attached (by aminoacyl-tRNA synthetases). tRNAs cope with the degeneracy of the genetic code in two manners: having more than one tRNA (with a specific anti-codon) for a particular amino acid; and 'wobble' base-pairing, i.e. permitting non-standard base-pairing at the 3rd anti-codon position. The record is from RNAcentral. Lineage: Bacteria; Pseudomonadati; Myxococcota; Myxococcia.